This 497-nucleotide ribosomal RNA is filed under the name uncultured bacterium. Its description in RNAcentral is "partial 16S ribosomal RNA". It matches the Rfam family "Bacterial small subunit ribosomal RNA", at positions 28 to 507 of the family's 1533-position model. The record is from RNAcentral.
GAUGAACGCUGGCGGCGUGCCUAAUACAUGCAAGUCGAGCGAACAGACGAGGAGCUUGCUCCUCUGACGUUAGCGGCUGACGGGUGAGUAACACGUGGAUAACCUACCUAUAAGACUGGGAUAACUUCGGGAAACCGGAGCUAAUACCGGAUAAUAUAUUGAACCGCAUGGUUCAAUAGUUAAAGACGGUUUUGCUGUCACUUAUAGAUGGAUCCGCGCCGCAUUAGCUAGUUGGUAAGGUAACGGCUUACCAAGGCAACGAUGCGUAGCCGACCUGAGAGGGUGAUCGACCACACUGGAACUGAGACACGGUCCAGACUCCUACGGGAGGCAGCAGUAGGGAAUCUUCCGCAAUGGGCGAAAGCCUGACGGAGCAACGCCGCGUGAGUGAUGAAGGUCUUCGGAUCGUAAAACUCUGUUAUUAGGGAAGAACAAAUGUGUAAGUAAAUAUGCACGUCUUGACGGUACCUAAUCAGAAAGCCACGGCUAACUACGUG